RNAcentral lists this ribosomal RNA (497 nucleotides) under uncultured bacterium. RNAcentral's name for it is "partial 16S ribosomal RNA". It matches the Rfam family "Bacterial small subunit ribosomal RNA", at positions 28 to 507 of the family's 1533-position model. The record is from RNAcentral.
GAUGAACGCUGGCGGCGUGCCUAAUACAUGCAAGUCGAGCGAACAGACGAGGAGCUUGCUCCUCUGACGUUAGCGGCGGACGGGUGAGUAACACGUGGAUAACCUACCUAUAAGACUGGGAUAACUUCGAGAAACCGGAGCUAAUACCGGAUAAUAUAUUGAACCGCAUGGUUCAAUAGUGAAAGACGGUUUUGCUGUCACUUAUAGAUGGAUCCGCGCCGCAUUAGCUAGUUGGUAAGGUAACGGCUUACCAAGGCAACGAUGCGUAGCCGACCUGAGAGGGUGAUCGGCCACACUGGAACUGAGACACGGUCCAGACUCCUAAGGGAGGCAGCAGUAGGGAAUCUUCCGAAAUGGGCGAAAGCUUGACGGAGCAACGCUGCGUGAGUGAUGAAGGUCUUCGGAUCGUAAAACUCUGUUAUUAGGGAAGAACAAAUGUGUAAGUAACUAUGCACGUCUUGACGGUACCUAAUCAGAAAGCCACGGCUAACUACGUG